Molecule: ribosomal RNA, 468 nt
Filed under: uncultured bacterium
Lineage: Bacteria
Description: partial 16S ribosomal RNA
Rfam family: Bacterial small subunit ribosomal RNA
Source: RNAcentral
GACGAACGCUGGCAGCGUGCUUAACACAUGCAAGUCGAACGGUGAUGCUCCAGCUUGCUGGAGUGGAUCAGUGGCGAACGGGUGAGUAACACGUGAGCAACCUGCCCCAGACUCUGGAAUAAGCGCUGGAAACGGCGUCUAAUACUGGAUACGAAACUGGCCCGCAUGGGCAUGGUUUGGAAAGUUUUUCGGUUUGGGAUGGGCUCGCGGCCUAUCAGCUUGUUGGUGAGGUAAUGGCUCACCAAGGCGACGACGGGUAGCCGGCCUGAGAGGGCGACCGGCCACACUGGGACUGAGACACGGCCCAGACUCCUACGGGAGGCAGCAGUGGGGAAUAUUGCACAAUGGGCGAAAGCCUGAUGCAGCGACGCCGCGUGAGGGAUGACGGCCUUCGGGUUGUAAACCUCUUUCAGCAGGGAAGAAGCGAAAGUGACGGUACCUGCAGAAGAAGCACCGGCUAACUACGUG